UUGACCUCGAAUCAGGUAGGACUACCCGCUGAACUUAAGCAUAUCAAUAAGCGGAGGAAAAGAAACUAACAAGGAUUCCCCUAGUAACUGCGAGUGAACCGGGAAAAGCUCAAAUUUUGAAUCUGGCGGUCUUUCGGCCGUCCGAGUUGUAAUCUAGAGAAGCGUCUUCCGCGCUGGACCGUGUAUAAGUUUCCUGGAAUGGAACGUCGUAGAGGGUGAGAAUCCCGUCUUUGACACGGACUACCAGGGCUAUGCGAUGCGCUCUCGACGAGUCGAGUUGUUUGGGAAUGCAGCUCAAAUAGGGUGGUAAAUUCCAUCUAA
Molecule: ribosomal RNA, 321 nt
Filed under: Suillus weaverae
Lineage: Eukaryota; Fungi; Basidiomycota; Agaricomycetes; Boletales; Suillaceae
Description: partial large subunit ribosomal RNA
Rfam family: Eukaryotic large subunit ribosomal RNA
Source: RNAcentral